GAUCAUGGCUCAGGAUGAACGCUGGCGGCGUGCUUAACACAUGCAAGUCGAACGGAGCCAAGAGAUGCUUGCAUCUCUGAAGCUUAGUGGCGGGCGGGUGAGUAACGCGUGAGUAACCUGCCCUUUACCGGGGGAUAACACUUAGAAAUAGGUGCUAAUACCGCAUAAGCGCACAGAACCGCAUGGUUCAGUGUGAAAAACUCCGGUGGUAAAGGAUGGACUCGCGUCUGAUUAGCCAGUUGGCAGGGUAACGGCCUACCAAAGCGACGAUCAGUAGCCGGCCUGAGAGGGUGAACGGCCACAUUGGGACUGAGACACGGCCCAAACUCCUACGGGAGGCAGCAGUGGGGGAUAUUGCACAAUGGGGGAAACCCUGAUGCAGCGACGCCGCGUGAGUGAAGAAGUAUUUCGGUAUGUAAAGCUCUAUCAGCAGGGAAGAAAAUGACGGUACCUGACUAAGAAGCCCGGGCUAACUACGUGCCAGCAGCCGC
Molecule: ribosomal RNA, 491 nt
Filed under: uncultured bacterium
Lineage: Bacteria
Description: bacterial SSU rRNA
Rfam family: Bacterial small subunit ribosomal RNA
Source: RNAcentral